This is a long non-coding RNA of Dreissena polymorpha, 2534 nucleotides long. RefSeq lists it as uncharacterized. The transcript has 8 exons. The record is from RefSeq and is a predicted model, not a curated record. NCBI's taxonomy places the organism in Eukaryota, Metazoa, Mollusca, Bivalvia, Myida, Dreissenidae.
AAUCAAAUAAAAUCGAAAUUUAAUAUAUUGGUAUCGUUAUUUGGACUGGAUAUAAGGAUUAUUUAUAUUGAAUUUAAAUCUGGAAUAUUUUUCAUCUGAAUUGAUUUCAAUAUAUAUGCUCCUGACAUUUAAAUCUAUUUGUUAAAGCAUGUAUGUGUAAUUAUGGCAUCCUGUGGAAAUAAUGCAAAGGCGAUUAUAUUUUAUGACAGUGAAGGCGCAAACGAAGCGUCUAAAACAGAGGCAGACAAAUUGAGGUUCUUCAUUGAAAAGAAUGGUGGAUACACAUGUCAAACUGACCAUGAAAUAAGAAUACCUGGAACCGAAGAUAUGAAUAACAUUCACAAUUCAAUUAAUCGUAAUGAUAGAAUAAUAAUUCUUAUAACAGAUCAAUCUGCUUCAAAAGGAUGGUUCACAUUUGCAGUUUUGUCUGCCUUAGAAAACAUAAAUGUGGAAAAUCAUGAGACUUUUGGUCGCAUACAAAGGAAAUCGACGUGAAGAUGUUGGGAAAACCGGAUUGCUGUCGUUGACGCCCAAGACGUUUGUCGACCUCACUGAAUGGCAGGGAUAUGAAAGGCUUCUCAAACAACUGAAAACUCCAGUGUGUUUGGACAAAGAAUUACCAGCGGGAAACUUGCAUCUUGGCUUGGUCCAUUCCCACAUAUCCGGUUACAUGGGCUAUGUUGCUGAAGAACAAGAAUUGGUUGGAGAAAUGCGAUGGUUACAGAAGAACAAAAAACUACUGAUUGGAAAUUUUCUGUUGGCUGUACCAAAAACCUGCGCUGUCCCACAGCAGCUUCCGUCAAAUUCAGCAUCAGGCAUUGUUAUUUCGAAUGUGGAUACAUUUGAGUUUAAGAGAAUACAUGCGGGUAAAAACACAGAGAUAAUGUUGUUACCAUCAACCAGAUAAAGCACGCGAACAACGAGUUGUACGUUUGUGCCCAGGUACCAACUACGAUAACUGCAAUAUCACAUCUUGCAAAGCAGCACCUUGGGAAAAUAAAUGUCGCUCUUGAGCACCAGCUUUUCUGUCAAUCAUACCAGCAGAUAAUCGAUGCGAAAGGAUGGAGUGACUUCUUGGAAAUCGUUCCAUGUGAAGAUGAAAACGAUAUUCCUGUCGCGUUGUUUAAGGCAGCGACGGCAAACAAUAUCAAGAAGACUGGGGCAGAAACUUCUCUAAUAAGCUGGAGUUUUGUCCGAUGUUAAAAGGAUUUUCCAGAUGAGUGUUUACAUAUCAUGUUUUGAUAUUGAUGGAGAUUUUUGUGAAAGUCGAAAAAGAGCUACAAAAACAUCAUAUGAACAUCAUACGACAUGAAAACACACCAGGAAGAUUCCUGCUCUCAGAUGGUGACAAUCGAGAAGGAUGGAUAAUAGUUAUUGUAUCGAAAGAAUCGCUGAAAAGCGAACUGCUUUCUUUCAAUCUCAUAAAAUGCCUGAUUGCCGAUGUUGAUGACGGCAGAUUGAGGAUCCUGCUUGUAUUGCGCAGCGGUGUGAAUAUCUCAGAAGUACCAAGAUGUAUUCGUUGGGUUACAGUAUUCAGCAAAGAUGAGAAAUCCUACAAAAACUGGAUUGAGAACCAGUAGAUAUUGGCAGGGCACUUCCAGCAGGGGAUGUUAUUCCAGGCUUAUGUUGGGCCUAUGUCUUGAACUACCUGAAUAUUGUGCUGACGACCAGCAGUCACAUCGUACUGUGAAGAUCUGGGAGGUCCAGACGCCAGCCAUUCGAUGUCAGUAUCAGAUACGCCAUUCUUCAUUAAAACGUUUACAACUCCCUGCAUACUCUAUCCUCGUUUCCCUUGUGAGAAACUGUCCUCUCCAUCGACUCCGUCCGUAAAGAAUCUCCUGUCAACGCUGGCAUAUGCAAUACUGUCAUCAUUUUUGUUUAUACUUUAAUCUAUCGAGAAUAAUAGCCAGAGUUGAUCAUGUAUCUAUGGACAUAAGUACACAGGUAUGGUCUAUUAGUAUUCGAAAAUGCCACGUUGAGCGUGAUUUGUCAUCCAUAUUGAAAAGAACAUUUUUCUGUUCUUAACAACUACGCUGUCAAUAGAAAAAACAAAAAUGAGAAACCUUCAAAAAGUUGUCUGGUAUUUUUCAUUUAGCAGACCUUCGUACGAGUUCAUAUUUGCAGUCGAUAACAAAGAAACAUAUACUUAAAAACUAGGUAUCGAUUUAAACAUGGUGUUCGUAGAGCAAGUUCAUGCGGUUAUCACCAUUGAAACCUUGUCAAUUUCAUUGUUUAUACCAUUUAACCAUGUGUACACCAAGUGUUGCUGUAAAUACAUGUUUAAUAAUUUCGUACUAUUCUCCCUUUACUUGAACUUUUUUUUUCUUCCCUAUUAUACCAAGUGGACUCGCCCAUCCUUUUAAAUUGGAUCAAUUUAUUUCCAAAAUAUUAGGGAUGUCUAGUAUAUUUAUUUUUAUAUUUAGAAUAUUUCAUAAAAAAAUGCCUUUAAGCAAAAAGCGCAGACCCAGAUAAGACGCCGCAUGAUGCGGCGUCUCAUCUGGGUAUAUGCUUUUUACCAAGGCCUUUUUUCUAGA